CUGAUUUCGGAGUUUGUCCAGAAUGUCUUGGAUUAUUACAGGCUUUGUCCGGCGCAACUGGCACCGAACUCAGUCCGGUUAAUAAUCAGCUUUGCUCUGCUGUGUCGGCUCUUGCUGAUCUUUCUCCGUAUCUCUCUCUUCCGGGCAUUCUUCAUCCUCUGACCCCACCCGAAAGCCCGAGGGUGGUGGUUCUUCAAUCUUCGGAA
RNAcentral lists this long non-coding RNA (206 nucleotides) under Elaeis guineensis (African oil palm). Its description in RNAcentral is "long non-coding RNA (EGUI_LNC030105)". The record is from RNAcentral. Lineage: Eukaryota; Viridiplantae; Streptophyta; Magnoliopsida; Arecales; Arecaceae.